GUAGGUGAACCUGCGGAAGGAUCAUUACUGAGUUCAUGCCCUAACGGGUAGAUCUCCCACCCUUGAAUAUAUAAACCUUUGUUGCUUUGGCGGGCCGCUUCGGCUACCGGCUUCGGCUGGUGAGUGCCCGCCAGAGGACCCCUAAACUCUGAAUGUUAGUGUCGUCUGAGUACUAUUAAAUAGUUAAAACUUUCAACAACGGAUCUCUUGGUUCUG
Molecule: unclassified non-coding RNA, 216 nt
Filed under: rhizosphere metagenome
Description: partial ribosomal RNA internal transcribed spacer region
Source: RNAcentral